GACGAACGCUGGCGGCGUGCUUAACACAUGCAAGUCGAACGGAAAGGCCCUGCUUUUGUGGGGUGCUCGAGUGGCGAACGGGUGAGUAACACGUGAGUAACCUGCCCUUGACUUUGGGAUAACUUCAGGAAACUGGGGCUAAUACCGGAUAGGAGCUCCUGCUGCAUGGUGGGGGUUGGAAAGUUUCGGCGGUUGGGGAUGGACUCGCGGCUUAUCAGCUUGUUGGUGGGGUAGUGGCUUACCAAGGCUUUGACGGGUAGCCGGCCUGAGAGGGUGAACGGCCACAUUGGGACUGAGAGACGGCGCAGACUGCUACGGGAGGCAGCAGUGGGGAAUAUUGCACAAUGGGCGGAAGCCUGAUGCAGCAACGCCGCGUGCGGGAUGACGGCCUUCGGGUUGUAAACCGCUUUCGCCUGUGACGAAGCGUGAGUGACGGUAAUGGGUAAAGAAGCACCGGCUAACUACGUG
This 468-nucleotide ribosomal RNA is filed under the name uncultured bacterium. Its description in RNAcentral is "partial 16S ribosomal RNA". It matches the Rfam family "Bacterial small subunit ribosomal RNA", at positions 28 to 507 of the family's 1533-position model. The record is from RNAcentral.